RNAcentral lists this ribosomal RNA (488 nucleotides) under uncultured Gammaproteobacteria bacterium. RNAcentral describes it as "bacterial SSU rRNA". It matches the Rfam family "Bacterial small subunit ribosomal RNA", at positions 30 to 505 of the family's 1533-position model. The record is from RNAcentral. Lineage: Bacteria; Pseudomonadati; Pseudomonadota; Gammaproteobacteria.
AUUGAACGCUGGCGGUAUGCUUAACACAUGCAAGUCGAACGGUAACGAUGGAUAGCUUGCUAUCCAGGCGACGAGUGGCGGACGGGUGAGUAAUACAUAGGAAUCUAUCCAGUAGCUGGGGAUAACGUGUGGAAACGCACGCUAAUACCGAAUACGCACUACGGUGGAAAGAGGGGGAUCUUCGGACCUCUCACUAUUGGCUGAGCCUAUGCCGGAUUAGUUUGUUGGUGGGGUAAUGGCCUACCAAGACUACGAUCCGUAGCUGGUCUGAGAGGACGAUCAGCCACACUGGGACUGAGACACGGCCCAGACUCCUACGGGAGGCAGCAGUGGGGAAUAUUGGACAAUGGGCGCAAGCCUGAUCCAGCAAUACCGCGUGUGUGAAGAAGGCCUGCGGGUUGUAAAGCACUUUCAGUAGGGAAGAAAAGCCAAAGGUUAAUAACCUUAGGUCUUGACGUUACCUACAGAAGAAGCACCGGCUAACUCCG